GUGUGCGUUCAUAUCAGCAAUAAUGUAUCGGAUCCCAUCAGAACUCCGAAGUUAAGCGUGCUUGGGCGAGAAUGGUACUAAGACAAGCUUUGUCGCAGAACUUCCACAGACACAGGUU
Molecule: ribosomal RNA, 118 nt
Filed under: Cephalotus follicularis
Lineage: Eukaryota; Viridiplantae; Streptophyta; Magnoliopsida; Oxalidales; Cephalotaceae
Source: RNAcentral